This 72-nucleotide transfer RNA is filed under the name Chamaeleo calcaricarens (Awash chameleon). Its description in RNAcentral is "tRNA-Trp". The record is from RNAcentral. Lineage: Eukaryota; Metazoa; Chordata; Lepidosauria; Squamata; Chamaeleonidae.
AGGAACUUAGGAUAAUAUUUAAACCGAAGGCCUUCAAAGCCUCCAAAAAGAGUAUCAACCUCUUAGUUUCUG